GGUUCAAUCCUUUCCCUAACU
RNAcentral lists this transfer RNA (21 nucleotides) under Kryptolebias marmoratus (mangrove rivulus). Its description in RNAcentral is "partial tRNA-Leu". The record is from RNAcentral. Lineage: Eukaryota; Metazoa; Chordata; Actinopteri; Cyprinodontiformes; Rivulidae.